CGGAGAUUUUAAUGCUCGACGAACCGGCGGCAGGUCUUAACCCAAAAGAAACCAAAGAGCUGGAUGAGCUGAUUGCCGAACUGCGCAAUCAUCACAACACCACUAUCUUGUUGAUUGAACACGAUAUGAAGCUGGUGAUGGGAAUUUCGGACCGAAUUUACGUGGUCAAUCAGGGGACGCCGCUGGCAAACGGUACGCCGGAGCAAAUCCGUAAUAACCCGGACGUGAUCCGUGCCUAUUUAGGUGAGGCAUAAGAUGGAAAAAGUCAUGUUGUCCUUUGACAAAGUCAGCGCCCACUACGGCAAAAUCCAGGCGCUGCAUGAGGUGAGCCU
Molecule: unclassified non-coding RNA, 332 nt
Filed under: uncultured fungus
Lineage: Eukaryota; Fungi
Description: sequence contains ITS1
Source: RNAcentral